GUUAAAGUGAUUUCAGUUAGUCUAGCUCAUUGAAGAAGAAAUAGUUUCCAAACUCUUCCAUAUUAAGGGCCAUGUUUCUGGAAAAGAAGUCAGGUGUUGUUAUUCUACUUUGGUCUGUGUGGUCUCUUACUGGAGAUGCAUGAGUAGCCAGCGUUUGAAGUAGGGGUAUUCAUGAGGUGGUAUUUUAGCCCAUUUAAUGCAACUCAGUAAACCUUCAGUAGGAAAAUGUUGCUAGACGUUGUUGGCUUUCUCUGCAUUGUAACAGCAUGCUGAUCUCAUUCUAGUAAUAUGAUCCUGAGCAAGGUUUUUACUGAAAUACAGGAGUACAAGCACUUUUGCAUUACAAUCAUUUGAAAAUGUGAAUAUGGUUUUAGUAUACUUCUUUAGAGAUCUAAACGUUUUUGGCAAUUCAAUCAUUCAACUUCUUUGCUUCUGCUAUCAGUGGAAGGUACAGUGUAUCAGUCUUAUAUGCAAGAGGGAGGGUUAACUAUAGGCAGUGAAUAUGACAUUUAUUUCUGCUAUUUAUAUAAGACUCGUGUAUCUCCUACUCAUCUGAACUGAACUGGCGCUGCCAAAGGCAACAAACAUAAAUGCUGACAUGUGGUUUUGUACUUCUGCCAGCCUCUGAAAGUCAAGGACACCAGCUACUAUAUCAAAUAUCAGAUGGACUGUGAUUGCAGAUCAUCAUUGCUUUGUGGAACAUUUAUGAUUGCAAACUUGGCAUCACUAAUGCUUAUUGUUGGUUAUUUCAAUUUGUGAAGAAUUUAUGCUUUAUUUUGUUUUGUAACUACUGCUUUUCAAAAACACUUUUUCGAGUUUUGAGAAGGUAAUCUCAAAUCCAUGCCACUCGAUUGGUAACAGGUGAAUGUGCAGUAGUCUUUCUGUUUUUGUUAAGGCAAAACUCUUCUGUUGCCAUAACAACAACAAAUUGCAAUUACUGUUUUCUGAUUGAGGGCGUGGCACAUUCCUGAUCAUGACAAACUUAAUCAACUAGGCAGCUGAAUAUGAAUGUGAGAAAUCUGUAAGUGACUAUCAUCUUCUAUCAUGCAAGCAUGGCGGUGGGCAAGGGUGGCAGGCAACGCAAUAAAUUGUCGACAUAUUGAGCAUUUGCUUGCAUGAGCUGAAAAUCCAUCAUGAGAAGGAGCCUCAGUAACGAUACUCAAGGAAUGAAAUUGGACCAAACAUAGUUGUGUACAACUGAGAUUCAAGUCAUGAUUUCAGUGUAUAGUUGUGGCUCAUUCACAGUAAACAUGCAGCACAGGAAGAAGGUUUUGCAGCAGCAACGAGAGGAAGGAAGGAAGCAAAGUAUGAUAGAUCUUCUUAAGAACUACUUCUCUAAACUUUACUCCAUUAAUUUUUAAACAUUUUAAACAGUGGGAUCAGCAGCUGAGAAGUGUGCCUAACCAGUCUGGCAAAUCAUCUUGAGACAUUGACGAGAGAAGAAACGAGGCAGCUUUUAAAUCAUUUUAGAAGACAGAAGUUUUCAAUCGUUUUCAGUGCUGCUGUUCUCAAGUCAUCAUGAACAAAUUGUUUUCUAUUACCAGCUCGAGCAGAUGAGAACAUUUAUGAGGGACAUCCAACAUAGCGUUGACUAGAUUGAACCAUGUAUUUUUAUAGAAUUUAGUGAUAGAAAUUUUACAUUUUUGCGUUUCAUUAAAGCCAGCCAGUCAGCAAUCAGUCACAU
Long non-coding RNA from Corticium candelabrum, 1684 nucleotides. RefSeq lists it as uncharacterized. Lineage: Eukaryota; Metazoa; Porifera; Homoscleromorpha; Homosclerophorida; Plakinidae. The transcript is spliced from 3 exons. The record is from RefSeq and is a predicted model, not a curated record.